GCGGCGUUCGGUCACAAGUUGUCUUAUUUUUGAUAUUCAAAUACGGCGAUUAGUUAUUCUUUUUAUUACAUUGGCAAAUGGCUUUUUUUUUUAUGAAAUUAAUGUAGAAAAUGUAAGGAACUAUAUCUUUUUCCUACGCAUUGACAAUUUGUUUUGAUCCGACGUUAUCGACGUCUUGACAACGCCUAUUGUUGUAUGACGUCAGAGAGUGAAAUAACCACGUUUAUUUCACAUGUGAAAUUAUCGGUUUUUAUCUAACUGGGAAACCAAUGUAAUUCAUUGCAACCAAUGUAAUAAAU
RNAcentral lists this long non-coding RNA (299 nucleotides) under Mytilus galloprovincialis (Mediterranean mussel). The record is from RNAcentral. Lineage: Eukaryota; Metazoa; Mollusca; Bivalvia; Mytilida; Mytilidae.